RNAcentral lists this ribosomal RNA (446 nucleotides) under uncultured Thiobacillus sp. RNAcentral describes it as "bacterial SSU rRNA". It matches the Rfam family "Bacterial small subunit ribosomal RNA", at positions 927 to 1382 of the family's 1533-position model. The record is from RNAcentral. Lineage: Bacteria; Pseudomonadati; Pseudomonadota; Betaproteobacteria; Nitrosomonadales; Thiobacillaceae.
AAGCGGUGGAUUAUGUGGAUUAAUCGAUGCAACGCGAAGACUUACACCCUUGACAUGUCCGGAACUUGCCAGAGAUGGCUGGUGCCCGAAAGGGAAUCGGGAACACAGGUGCUGCAUGGCUGUCGUCAGCUCGUGUCGUGAGAUGUUGGGUUAAGUCCCGCAACGAGCGCAACCCUUAUCAUUAGUUGCUACGCAAGGGCACUCUAAUGAGACUGCCGGUGACAAACCGGAGGAAGGUGGGGAUGACGUCAAGUCCUCAUGGCCCUUAUGGGUAGGGCUUCACACGUCAUACAAUGGUCGGUACAGAGGGUUGCCAAGCCGCGAGGCGGAGCCAAUCCUUAAAGCUGGUCUCAGUUCGGAUUGCAGGCUGCAACUCGCCUGCAUGAAGUCGGAGUUGCUAGUAACCGCGCGUCGGCCAUAGUGCGGUGAAUACGUUCCCGGGCCUU